This 491-nucleotide ribosomal RNA is filed under the name uncultured bacterium. Its description in RNAcentral is "partial 16S ribosomal RNA". It matches the Rfam family "Bacterial small subunit ribosomal RNA", at positions 29 to 507 of the family's 1533-position model. The record is from RNAcentral.
GUGAACGCUGGCGGUAGGCCUAACACAUGCAAGUCGAACGGCAGCACAGUAAGAGCUUGCUCUUACGGGUGGCGAGUGGCGGACGGGUGAGGAAUACAUCGGAAUCUACUUUUUCGUGGGGGAUAACGUAGGGAAACUUACGCUAAUACCGCAUACGACCUACGGGUGAAAGCAGGGGAUCUUCGGACCUUGCGCGAUUGAAUGAGCCGAUGUCGGAUUAGCUAGUUGGCGGGGUAAAGGCCCACCAAGGCGACGAUCCGUAGCUGGUCUGAGAGGAUGAUCAGCCACACUGGAACUGAGACACGGUCCAGACUCCUACGGGAGGCAGCAGUGGGGAAUAUUGGACAAUGGGCGCAAGCCUGAUCCAGUCAUACCGCGUGGGUGAAGAAGGCCUUCGGGUUGUAAAGCCCUUUUGUUGGGAAAGAAAAGCAGCAGGUUAAUACCCCGCUGUUCUGACGGUACCCAAAGAAUAAGCACCGGCUAACUUCGUG